AAAUCUUUAGUUAAUUUAAUAACAAUAAAAUGUCAUUUUAUAAUUACUCUCAGUAAGAUU
Molecule: transfer RNA, 60 nt
Filed under: Riccardoella reaumuri
Lineage: Eukaryota; Metazoa; Arthropoda; Arachnida; Trombidiformes; Ereynetidae
Description: tRNA-Asp
Source: RNAcentral